CCUACGGGAGGCAGCAGUGAGGAAUAUUGGUCAAUGGACGAGAGUCUGAACCAGCCAAGUAGCGUGAAGGAUGACUGCCCUAUGGGUUGUAAACUUCUUUUAUAUGGGAAUAAAACGUUCCACGUGUGGGAUUUUGUAUGUACCAUAUGAAUAAGGAUCGGCUAACUCCGUGCCAGCAGCCGCGAUAAUACGGAGGAUCCGAGCGUUAUCCGGAUUUAUUGGGUUUAAAGGGAGCGUAGGUGGAUUGUUAAGUCAGUUGUGAAAGUUUGCGGCUCAACCGUAAAAUUGCAGUUGAAACUGGCAGUCUUGAGUACAGUAGAGGUGGGCGGAAUUCGUGGUGUAGCGGUGAAAUGCUUAGAUAUCACGAAGAACUCCGAUUGCGAAGGCAGUUCACUGGACUGCAACUGACACUGAGGCUCGAAAGUGUGGGUAUCAAACAGGAUUAGAUACCCCGGUAGUC
This 460-nucleotide ribosomal RNA is filed under the name uncultured bacterium. Its description in RNAcentral is "partial 16S ribosomal RNA". It matches the Rfam family "Bacterial small subunit ribosomal RNA", at positions 338 to 795 of the family's 1533-position model. The record is from RNAcentral.